UACGUAGGUGGCAAGCGUUGUCCGGAAUUAUCGGGCGUAAAGCGCGCGCAGGCGGUUUCUUAAGUCUGAUGUGAAAGCCCACGGCUCAACCGUGGAGGGUCAUUGGAAACUGGGAAACUUGAGUGCAGAAGAGGAAAGUGGAACUCCACGUGUAGCGGUGAAAUGCGUAGAGAUGUGGAGGAACACCAGUGGCGAAGGCGACUUUCUGGUCUGUAACUGACGCUGAGGCGCGAAAGCAUGGGGAGCGAACAGG
Molecule: ribosomal RNA, 253 nt
Filed under: uncultured bacterium
Lineage: Bacteria
Description: partial 16S ribosomal RNA
Rfam family: Bacterial small subunit ribosomal RNA
Source: RNAcentral